CAGUCGCCGCGGGAAUACGUAGGUGGCAAGCGUUGUCCGGAAUUAUUGGGCGUAAAGCGCGCGCAGGUGGUUUAAUAAGUCUGAUGUGAAAGCCCACGGCUCAACCGUGGAGGGUCAUUGGAAACUGUUGAACUUGAGUGCAGGAGAGAAAAGUGGAAUUCCUAGUGUAGCGGUGAAAUGCGUAGAGAUUAGGAGGAACACCAGUGGCGAAGGCGGCUUUUUGGCCUGUAACUGACACUGAGGCGCGAAAGCGUGGGGAGCAAACAGGAUUAGAGACCCCGGUAGUCCCUGUCUCUUAUAC
Molecule: ribosomal RNA, 301 nt
Filed under: uncultured bacterium
Lineage: Bacteria
Description: partial 16S ribosomal RNA
Rfam family: Bacterial small subunit ribosomal RNA
Source: RNAcentral